RNAcentral lists this transfer RNA (75 nucleotides) under Permianibacter aggregans. Its description in RNAcentral is "tRNA-Gln". It matches the Rfam family "tRNA". Rfam says of the family: Transfer RNA (tRNA) molecules are approximately 80 nucleotides in length. Lineage: Bacteria; Pseudomonadati; Pseudomonadota; Gammaproteobacteria; Pseudomonadales; Pseudomonadaceae. RNAcentral also lists the same sequence under 4 other names. The record is from RNAcentral.
AGGGGUAUCGCCAAGCGGUAAGGCAGCGGGUUUUGAUCCCGCCAUUCGGAGGUUCGAAUCCUUCUACCCCUGCCA